RNAcentral lists this ribosomal RNA (1100 nucleotides) under Bacillus velezensis. RNAcentral describes it as "bacterial SSU rRNA". It matches the Rfam family "Bacterial small subunit ribosomal RNA", at positions 48 to 1134 of the family's 1533-position model. The record is from RNAcentral. Lineage: Bacteria; Bacillati; Bacillota; Bacilli; Caryophanales; Bacillaceae.
AGAAAAAAUGCAAGUCGAGCGGACAGAUGGGAGCUUGCUCCCUGAUGUUAGCGGCGGACGGGUGAGUAACACGUGGGUAACCUGCCUGUAAGACUGGGAUAACUCCGGGAAACCGGGGCUAAUACCGGAUGGUUGUUUGAACCGCAUGGUUCAGACAUAAAAGGUGGCUUCGGCUACCACUUACAGAUGGACCCGCGGCGCAUUAGCUAGUUGGUGAGGUAACGGCUCACCAAGGCGACGAUGCGUAGCCGACCUGAGAGGGUGAUCGGCCACACUGGGACUGAGACACGGCCCAGACUCCUACGGGAGGCAGCAGUAGGGAAUCUUCCGCAAUGGACGAAAGUCUGACGGAGCAACGCCGCGUGAGUGAUGAAGGUUUUCGGAUCGUAAAGCUCUGUUGUUAGGGAAGAACAAGUGCCGUUCAAAUAGGGCGGCACCUUGACGGUACCUAACCAGAAAGCCACGGCUAACUACGUGCCAGCAGCCGCGGUAAUACGUAGGUGGCAAGCGUUGUCCGGAAUUAUUGGGCGUAAAGGGCUCGCAGGCGGUUUCUUAAGUCUGAUGUGAAAGCCCCCGGCUCAACCGGGGAGGGUCAUUGGAAACUGGGGAACUUGAGUGCAGAAGAGGAGAGUGGAAUUCCACGUGUAGCGGUGAAAUGCGUAGAGAUGUGGAGGAACACCAGUGGCGAAGGCGACUCUCUGGUCUGUAACUGACGCUGAGGAGCGAAAGCGUGGGGAGCGAACAGGAUUAGAUACCCUGGUAGUCCACGCCGUAAACGAUGAGUGCUAAGUGUUAGGAGGUUUCCGCCCCUUAGUGCUGCAGCUAACGCAUUAAGCACUCCGCCUGGGGAGUACGGUCGCAAGACUGAAACUCAAAGGAAUUGACGGGGGCCCGCACAAGCGGUGGAGCAUGUGGUUAAUUCGAAGCAACGCGAAGAACCUUACCAGGUCUUGACAUCCUCUGACAAUCCUAGAGAUAGGACGUCCCCUUCGGGGGCAGAGUGACAGGUGGUGCAUGGUUGUCGUCAGCUCGUGUCGUGAGAUGUUGGGUUAAGUCCCGCAACGAGCGCACCCUUGAUCUUAGUUGCCAGCAUUCGUUGG